This 132-nucleotide small RNA is filed under the name Escherichia coli. Its description in RNAcentral is "RtT sRNA". It matches the Rfam family "RtT RNA". From Rfam's summary of the family: This family represents a bacterial cis-regulatory element known as RtT RNA. The exact function of RtT is unknown although it is thought that it may be involved in changing the cellular response in relation to amino acid starvation. The record is from RNAcentral. Lineage: Bacteria; Pseudomonadati; Pseudomonadota; Gammaproteobacteria; Enterobacterales; Enterobacteriaceae.
AUUCUGCCCAUGCGGGGAAGGAUGAGAAGCUUCGACCAAGGUUCGACUCGAGCUCCAGCGAGAGAGCGUUGCCGCAGGCAACGACCCGUAGGGCGAAGCGCGCAGCGCUGAGUAAUCCUUCCCCCACCACCA